Molecule: transfer RNA, 79 nt
Filed under: Vibrio parahaemolyticus
Lineage: Bacteria; Pseudomonadati; Pseudomonadota; Gammaproteobacteria; Vibrionales; Vibrionaceae
Description: tRNA-Asp
Rfam family: tRNA
About the family: Transfer RNA (tRNA) molecules are approximately 80 nucleotides in length.
Source: RNAcentral
GGAGCGGUAGUUCAGUUGGUUAGAAUACCGGCCUGUCACGCCNGGGGGUCGCGGGUUCGANGUCCCGUCCGCUCCGCCA